GACGAACGCUGGCGGCGUGCUUAACACAUGCAAGUCGAACGGAAAGGCCCUGCUUUUGUGGGGUGCUCGAGUGGCGAACGGGUGAGUAACACGUGAGUAACCUGCCCUUGACUUUGGGAUAACUUCAGGAAACUGGGGCUAAUACCGGAUAGGAGCUCCUGCUGCAUGGUGGGGGUUGGAAAGUUUCGGCGGUUGGGGAUGGACUCGCGGCUUAUCAGCUUGUUGGUGGGGUAGUGGCUUACCAAGGCUUUGACGGGUAGCCGGCCUGAGAGGGUGACCGGCCACAUUGGGACUGAGAUACGGCCCAGACUCCUACGGGAGGCAGCAGUGGGGAAUAUUGCACAAUGGGCGGAAGCCUGAUGCAGCAACGCCGCGUGCGAGAUGACGGCCUUCGGGUUGUAAACCGCUUUCGCCUGUGACGAAGCGUGAGUGACGGUAAUGGGUAAAGAAGCACCGGCUAACUACGUGCCAGCAGCCGCGGUGAUACGUAGGGUGCGAGCGUUGUCCGGAUUUAUUGGGCGUAAAGGGCUCGUAGGUGGUUGAUCGCGUCGGAAGUGUAAUCUUGGGGCUUAACCCUGAGCGUGCUUUCGAUACGGGUUGACUUGAGGAAGGUAGGGGAGAAUGGAAUUCCUGGUGGAGCGGUGGAAUGCGCAGAUAUCAGGAGGAACACCAGUGGCGAAGGCGGUUCUCUGGGCCUUUCCUGACGCUGAGGAGCGAAAGCGUGGGGAGCGAACAGGCUUAGAUACCCUGGUAGUCCACGCUGUAAACGGUGGGUACUAGGUGUGGGGUCCAUUCCACGGGUUCCGUGCCGUAGCUAACGCUUUAAGUACCCCGCCUGGGGAGUACGGCCGCAAGGCUAAAACUCAAAGGAAUUGACGGGGCCCCGCACAAGCGGCGGAGCAUGCGGAUUAAUUCGAUGCAACGCGUAGAACCUUACCUGGGUUUGACAUGGAUCGGGAGUGCUCAGAGAUGGGUGUGCCUCUUUUGGGGUCGGUUCACAGGUGGUGCAUGGCUGUCGUCAGCUCGUGUCGUGAGAUGUUGGGUUAAGUCCCGCAACGAGCGCAACCCUUGUUCACUGUUGCCAGCACGUUAUGGUGGGGACUCAGUGGAGACCGCCGGGGUCAACUCGGAGGAAGGUGGGGAUGACGUCAAGUCAUCAUGCCCCUUAUGUCCAGGGCUUCACGCAUGCUACAAUGGCUGGUACAGAGAGUGGCGAGCCUGUGAGGGUGAGCGAAUCUCGGAAAGCCGGUCUCAGUUCGGAUUGGGGUCUGCAACUCGACCUCAUGAAGUCGGAGUCGCUAGUAAUCGCAGAUCAGCAACGCUGCGGUGAAUACGUUCCCGGGGCU
Molecule: ribosomal RNA, 1346 nt
Filed under: uncultured bacterium
Lineage: Bacteria
Description: partial 16S ribosomal RNA
Rfam family: Bacterial small subunit ribosomal RNA
Source: RNAcentral